Molecule: ribosomal RNA, 305 nt
Filed under: uncultured bacterium
Lineage: Bacteria
Description: bacterial SSU rRNA
Rfam family: Bacterial small subunit ribosomal RNA
Source: RNAcentral
CAUCCUACGGGAGGCAGCAGUGGGGAGUAUUGCACAAUGGGGGAAACCCUGAUGCAGCGACGCCGCGUGAGUGAAGAAGUAUUUCGGUAUGUAAAGCUCUAUCAGCAGGAACGAGACAAGACGGUACCUGACUAAGAAGCCCCGGCUAACUACGUGCAAGCAGCCGCGGUAAUACGUAGGGGGCAAGCGUUAUCCGGAAUCACUGGGUGUAAAGUGAGCGUAGACGGCUGGGCAAGCCUGAAGUGAAAGGCGGGGGCCCAACCCCUGGACUGCUUUGGGGACUGGACGGCUGGAGUGCAGGAGAG